AAGUAGUAUUUUCAAAAAAAACUAUAAUAUUAUGGCGGCACCUCAUCUACCUAGAGGAACUUGUUAUAUAAUCGAUAAACCCCGAUCAUUUUCACUUUAAUAAUAAAGUUUAUAUAUCGCCAUCUAAAGAGUUAGUUAAAUAACUUUACUCUAAAUAAAAAAUAAAAAGUUAGGUCAAGGUGUAACUCAUAUUAAAGAUAUAAAUGAGUUACUUUAAAUAUAAUUUAAGGAUUAAUUAAUAAAUUAAUUAUUGAAAAAGGAUUU
Molecule: ribosomal RNA, 264 nt
Filed under: Cithaeron jocqueorum
Lineage: Eukaryota; Metazoa; Arthropoda; Arachnida; Araneae; Cithaeronidae
Description: partial 12S ribosomal RNA
Source: RNAcentral